GAUGAACGCUGGCGGCGUGCCUAAUACAUGCCAGUUGAGCGCACAGAGUUGGAACUUGUACCGCUUGGAUUAGCAGCGAACGGGUGAGUAACGCGUGGGGAACCUGCCUUUGAGCGGGGGACAACUUUUGGAAACGAAUGCUAAUACCGCAUAAAAACUUUAAACACAAGGUUUAAGAUUGAAAGAUGCAAUUGCAUCACUCAAAGAUGAUCCCGCGUUGUAUUAGGUAGUUGGUGAAGUAAAGGCCUACCAAAGCGAAGAUACAUAGCCGACCCGGGAGGGUGAUCGGCCACAAUGGGACUGGGACCCCGGCCAAGCCCCUUAGGGGAGCAGCAGUAGGGGAUCUUCGGGCAUUGGCGGAAGUCUUACCGGACAACGCCGGCGUGGUUGAUGAAGUUUUUGGAUUGUAAAAAUCUUUUUGUUGGGGAGAAACAUGUUGGUAGGGAACAGCUCACCAAUUGACGGUACCUAACCAGAAAGCCACGGCUAACUACGUG
RNAcentral lists this ribosomal RNA (497 nucleotides) under uncultured bacterium. RNAcentral describes it as "partial 16S ribosomal RNA". It matches the Rfam family "Bacterial small subunit ribosomal RNA", at positions 28 to 507 of the family's 1533-position model. The record is from RNAcentral.